GACGAAGGGGGCUAGCGUUGCUCGGAAUCACUGGGCGUAAAGCGCACGUAGGCGGACUCUUAAGUCGGUGGUGAAAUCCUGGAGCUCAACUCCAGAACUGCCUUCGAUACUGAGAGUCUCGAGUCCGAGAGAGGUGAGUGGAACUGCGAGUGUAGAGGUGAAAUUCGUAGAUAUUCGCAAGAACACCAGUGGCGAAGGCGGCUCACUGGCUCGGUACUGACGCUGAGGUGCGAAAGCGUGGGGAGCAAACAGG
This 253-nucleotide ribosomal RNA is filed under the name uncultured bacterium. Its description in RNAcentral is "partial 16S ribosomal RNA". It matches the Rfam family "Bacterial small subunit ribosomal RNA", at positions 524 to 776 of the family's 1533-position model. The record is from RNAcentral.